GACGAACGCUGGCGGCGUGCUUAACACAUGCAAGUCGAACGGACUUCAGUCCGCAAGGACUGAAGUGAGUGGCGAACGGCUGAGUAACACGUAGGUGACCUGCCCCGAAGUUUGGGAUAACACCUCGAAAGAGGUGCUAAUACCGGAUGUGACCACCGAUUCAUUUCGGUGCUUAAAGUCGCAAGACGCUUUGGGAGGGGCCUGCGGCGGAUUAGCUAGUUGGUGUGGUAACGGCACACCAAGGCUUCGAUCCGUAGCUGGUCUGAGAGGGCGGUCGGCCACACUGACACUGACAUACGGGUCAGACUCCUACGGGAGGCAGCAGUCGGGAAUUUUGGGCAAUGGGCGCAAGCCUGACCCAGCAACGCCGCGUGAAGGAUGAAAUCCCUCGGGAUGUAAACUUCGCAAGAACAGGAAGAA
RNAcentral lists this ribosomal RNA (420 nucleotides) under uncultured bacterium. Its description in RNAcentral is "bacterial SSU rRNA". It matches the Rfam family "Bacterial small subunit ribosomal RNA", at positions 28 to 449 of the family's 1533-position model. The record is from RNAcentral.